UCGCCGCGCUCCUCCUUUCGCUCGCCUGCUCUCUCCUUUCGCUCCUCCUUUCCUCUUUCUCGUAUCGCCGCCGCCACCCCACAUCCGCCGCCCUCGCUGCCCCAACCCCACCUCCGCCGCCCUCGCCGCCCGACCUCGGGAUUCAUCACCCGCCUCCACCAACUUCGUCACCUCCCCGGUGCCGACUUCGUCCCUCCCCUCACCAUCGCCGGAACCCUAACCACCGCCCCCUCGCACCGCCCGACACCCGUCGACUAGCUUCACCGCCGACGUCAUCCCUCCCCUCGCCAUCGUCGGAUGACACGCCUACACCCCGCCGCCGCCGCCCUCGCUGCCCCGACGUCAUCCCUCCCCUGACCUUCGCCGCCCGCCGAUUCCUCUAACCGCUGGCUCAUCGUGCCGCUAGACUCCGUCGACGAGGGCCGCCGCCGACGUCAUCCCUCCCCUCACCGUCGGCCGCCGAUUCGCACCGCCCGACCGACGCCGUGGCACAUCCUGCUCACAACACUCGCUCUGGACAGGAGUUUAUGACCCAUGUAGAGAAGCAUGUGGCAAUAGUACAGUAGCAUCUUGGAUUAAUCAUCCUAUCAAUUGGAGUAUUUGUGCAUGUAUGCUUGCAUUUUCUCCCGAGGGAAAACUCAAAUAGUCUCAAAUUCAGCUUACAAAACAGGAAUGGAAGAUCUUUGAUUUCUGUAUUUUUCUUUAGAUUAAAUCUGUUUUGCAGUUAUGAGAAAACAAGGCCAUUUGUUAUUAUUAUGUACGAGUAUAAUGCUUUGGCAGCAAAUUUCUUUACUUACAGUUUCACCUCUUACUUGGAGUGCACUGUAUAGAAAAAUAUGAUUCAGAUUGCAUUUCCCAUUCAAUGUACGCUUCAAUAAGGAAUUGUGAGAGAUGACCUUUGCAUCCUUCUAGCUAUUUAUUUUCCACUUAAGAUCUACGGAGUAUCACAUCAAGUGUCAGUUCUUGAUGGCAUGCCAUUGACGAAGCCAGUCGUGCCUUCUACCUGAACACAACGGACACUACCUCCCCACUUGAACAGACCAAAUCUGGAACCUCUAUCUUCAUGGACUUCACAGCUCGACAACUCCAUCCUCCAAACUCUGUUGUACAGAGCACCUGGGACAAGACUACCACCCACAUCAAGCAUGCCCAGGUAUGCAGGUACCUGCAUAUGUUUUCUCGCUGGCAUCCUGCUUGAGGAAAUGCCAAUUUGGGACGGCCUAGGUGUGCAAAACUGAUGUAUGGAUUGGUUCAAGAAAAUGCAGCACAAUAUCUGAAGCUGGUAUGUCAAUAUCCUUAUUACCUAUGUCUUUAUCUCUGCACAUCAGCGUUUGUGGUUAAAUCACAUCAAAGAAAUUUUUACCAACAAACUCGCAGAUCACAAGAAAUAUAUUAUGCAAUAUAGCCUGAUCACUUAAUGUUCAAAUGUGCUCCAGCAAAAUUCCUGAGGUUGCUAUUUUAGAGAUGUGCACCGGGAUAGAAUCCCAAAUUCUAGAGUUAAGGUCAUGUCCAUGCUGCAAUAGCCUGGAAACAAAAUCAGAAUAUUACCUUCUUGUAUUUGUUCUCUGCAGGAACAUGGGCCAUUUCGCUAACCCGAAAUGAUUGGGUGUUAAAAAAAAUUGCUUUCAGAUAUGUUGCAUUUGCCUUGUAGAGUUGUUUCCCUUUUGCAACAGUGGAGACCUUUGAUUCCUUCGAAGCUGGCAGGGUACUUGGAUGCUUUAAAGGGAUUGCUGCUUGUCAAAAUUCACGAGAUGAGGAUCAAGUCUCAACUAAUGAUCAAGAAGAUGGGAGACCGUGGAGUUCAGUUUUCCAGCUAGCUAUAAGUAUUCGGUAGUUCUGCAACUGUUUGAUGUCUGUUGCUGUCAUUUUUGUGCCGAAAUGGACCGUUCCCUUUUGAGAUAGCUCGAGAUGAACCGUUCUCUAGAGAUAUAGCUUUGGUUCUGUUGUUUUAGCAGCUUGGCAUUUGGUUGCUGCUUAGCUCAGACUGGCUUGUUCUGCCUAUCUGCUGAGCUAGCAGCUUUGCCUUUGUCCCAUGCUGCUGCAAGUUAAGCUUGAAACUCCAGCAAAACGUGUAUCAUACUCGUAUGCUUUUAGUAAGGGUGUGUUGACGCCAAAAUUGAAAGUUUGGUUGAAAUUGGAACAAUGUGACGGAAAAGUUAUUA
Long non-coding RNA from Oryza sativa Japonica Group (Japanese rice), 2162 nucleotides. RefSeq lists it as uncharacterized. The record is from RefSeq and is a predicted model, not a curated record. NCBI's taxonomy places the organism in Eukaryota, Viridiplantae, Streptophyta, Magnoliopsida, Poales, Poaceae.